This 497-nucleotide ribosomal RNA is filed under the name uncultured bacterium. RNAcentral describes it as "partial 16S ribosomal RNA". It matches the Rfam family "Bacterial small subunit ribosomal RNA", at positions 28 to 507 of the family's 1533-position model. The record is from RNAcentral.
GAUGAACGCUGGCGGCGUGCCUAAUACAUGCAAGUCGAGCGAACGGACGAGAAGCUUGCUUCUCUGAUGUUAGCGGCGGACGGGUGAGUAACACGUGGAUAACCUACCUAUGAGACUGGGAUAACUUCGGGAAACCGGAGCUAAUACCGGAUAAUAUUUUGAACCGCAUGGUUCAAAAGUGAAAGACGGUCUUGCUGUCACUUAUAGAUGGAUCCGCGCUGCAUUAGCUAGUUGGUAAGGUAACGGCUUACCAAGGCAACGAUGCAUAGCCGACCUUAGAGGGUGAUCGGCCACACUGGAACUGAGACACGGUCCAGACUCCUACGGGAGGCAGCAGUAGGGAAUCUUCCGCAAUGGGCGAAAGCCUGACGGAGCAACGCCGCGUGAGUGAUGAAGGUCUUCGGAUCGUAAAACUCUGUUAUUAGGGAAGAACAUAUGUGUAAGUAACUGUGCACAUCUUGACGGUACCUAAUCAGAAAGCCACGGCUAACUACGUG